RNAcentral lists this ribosomal RNA (710 nucleotides) under uncultured bacterium. Its description in RNAcentral is "bacterial SSU rRNA". It matches the Rfam family "Bacterial small subunit ribosomal RNA", at positions 134 to 856 of the family's 1533-position model. The record is from RNAcentral.
UAGUGGGGGAUAACGUUCCGAAACUUACGCUAAUACCGCAUACGAUCUACGGAUGAAAGUGGGGGAUCUUCGGACCCUGGCUCGUCGGAUCAGCCUAUGUCUGAUUAGCUAGUUGGUGAGGUAAUGGCCUCACCAAGGCAUCGAUCACUAACUGGUCUGAGAGGAUGAUCAGUCACACUGGAACUGAGACACGGUCCAGACUCCUACGGGAGGCAGCAGUGGGGAAUUUUGGACAAUGGGCGAAAGCCUGAUCCAGCCAUGCCGCGUGAGUGAAGAAGGCCUUCGGGUUGUAAAGCUCUUUUGUCUUGGAAGAAACGGUGUAAACCUAAUAUCUUUUGGUUUGACGGUUCCUGAAGAAUAAGCACCGGCUAACUACUUGCCAGCAGCCGCGGUAAUACGUAGGGUGCAAGCGUUAAUCGGAAUACUGGGCGUAAGCGUGCGUAGGUGGUUUGUAAGUCUGAUGUGAAAUCCCCGGGCUCAACCUGGGAAUUGCAUUGGAGACUGCAAGGCUAGAAUCUGGCAGAGGGGGGUAGAAUUCCACGUGUAGCAGUGAAAUGCGUAGAUAUGUGGAGGAACACCGAUGGCGAAAGCAGCCCCCUGGGUCAAGAUUGACGCUCAUGCACGAAAGCGUGGGGAGCAACAGGAUUGAUACCCUGGUAGUCACGCCCUAACGAUGUCACUACUGUCGGUCUUAUUGACUUGUUACGCAC